This is a long non-coding RNA of Physeter macrocephalus (sperm whale), 818 nucleotides long. RefSeq lists it as uncharacterized. Lineage: Eukaryota; Metazoa; Chordata; Mammalia; Artiodactyla; Physeteridae. The transcript is spliced from 3 exons. The record is from RefSeq and is a predicted model, not a curated record.
CAAAUACAAGUUGUCGCUAAAUUCGGAGGCAGCUGGGCCUGGGGAAGGGGGCUGACUGCAGAGAGCGGUCCUCGGACGGGCGCCCUGCAGGCCCUUCCCAGGCAGGCUGGGAGGAGGCCCGCCUCGCCGGCUGGCUGCGCACAAAUGAGGGCUGAUGCCUGCCACCUGCCCCUCCCUCUCCAGCCCACAUCUUCCCCUGGCUUAGAGCUUUCUGAGUGACCCAGCAGCUCAUCUGCAGGGUGGUGGGGAGACUCCCCCAGCAGCUCCCGUGGAGUCGAAAGGCAAGGCCAGCGGUGAACCUUCCAGCCAGGAGCCCUGCCUGCAGCCAGGACCAUGGCUGAAGCCGUGUCGGUUCCUUACCUCAUCUUUCCUCAAGGGACCGUGGUCCAGAGCCGACAGCACCUCCUGGGCAGUCUCAGAGGCCACCUGCCAUCUUGCCGCGGGACCUGGUUGGGGCUGUGUGUGACACAGGGGCACAGAGUGGUGGCCGAGGGCCCAGAGCUGCCUCUGCCUCUGCCUCUGACUGUGUGACCUUGACUGUGGACUGAGUCUUCUGAAACUGAGGGUCCUUCCCUGAAAGAGAAGGAUAGGAUAAUUUAUUUCUAAAUUUCUUCAACACUUAAGCUUCUUAUGACUCUUAACAAUUCUAUUCCUUUUAAAAAAUUCUGGACUUAGAGCACACCAAUCCGAAAAGGAAAAUCAGUGUUUGUCAAAGUUCUGAAGGGGCAUUAAUUGUAUUUUCUGGGCACCAGAAUCUUGACCCUAAAUCAUCAAGUAAGACUCAUCCAGUUCCAAUAUCCAUAAUUGUUCACCCUGUG